Molecule: ribosomal RNA, 626 nt
Filed under: Aspergillus pseudoglaucus
Lineage: Eukaryota; Fungi; Ascomycota; Eurotiomycetes; Eurotiales; Aspergillaceae
Description: LSU rRNA
Rfam family: 5.8S ribosomal RNA (bases 121-274)
Source: RNAcentral
ACCUCCCAUCCGUGUCUAUCUGUACCCUGUUGCUUCGGCGUGGCCACGGCCCGCCGAAGACUAACAUUUGAACACUGUCUGAAGUUUGCAGUCUGAGAUUUUUAGUUAAACAAUAAUUAAAACUUUCAACAACGGAUCUCUUGGUUCCGGCAUCGAUGAAGAACGCAGCGAAAUGCGAUAAUUAAUGUGAAUUGCAGAAUUCAGUGAAUCAUCGAGUCUUUGAACGCACAUUGCGCCCCCUGGUAUUCCGGGGGGCAUGCCUGUCCGAGCGUCAUUGCUGCCCUCAAGCACGGCUUGUGUGUUGGGCUUCCGUCCCUGGUAACGGGGACGGGCCCAAAAGGCAGUGGCGGCACCAUGUCUGGUCCUCGAGCGUAUGGGGCUUUGUCACCCGCUCCCGUAGGUCCAGCUGGCAGCUAGCCUCGCAACCAAUCUUUUUAACCAGGUUGACCUCGGAUCAGGUAGGGAUACCCGCUGAACUUAAGCAUAUCAAUAAGCGGAGGAAAAGAAACCAACAGGGAUUGCCUCAGUAACGGCGAGUGAAGCGGCAAGAGCUCAAAUUUGAAAUCUGGCCCCUUCGGGGUCCGAGUUGUAGUUUGUAAAGGAUGCUUCGGGUGCGGCCCCCGUCU